GGGUGAGAAGAGACCAACAAGAACAUAAGACCUGACAUGCUUGUGAAGAAUGACAGGCUCAAACUUCUGUCAUUAUGAAGAGGGUUGUUCAUUAUUCCAAAAACUGCUAAGAACAGGAUUGCUACCCAAGCAGAAGAGAAUCUGUUUUAAGUGGUGAGACAUUUGGGUUGAUUGUGGAAGAAAAAGGUGCCUCAUACUCUCCCUUCACUGGUAGAAAUGCUUCUUUUUAGAAUUCUGAGACCUGGUCCUUAUUCACAUUAUUCUCAAAAUAGAAUGUAGUGACAUUUAUAAAAGGAAGAAUGAAUUCUACUUUGUUUCUUCACACCUAAAUACUUCAAAAUUUAAACACUUCAUGAAAAAAGAUUAAAAGUGUAUCUAUUAACACUAAUAUACUUAAUUUAGUGGAUUCAAGUCUGUAGAAUGUUAAAACAAUAAGAUUAAGUGUUGAAAGAGACAUUCUAAAUAUUUAUCUAGCCCCAUCUACCUAUACCACUCUAAUUGGUGUUUCUCUGAGAUACAAAGAAAGCACAAUUCAAUUUGAUUCAACAAAUAUUUAUUAAAUUACUAUUAUAGCCAAGACACUGUGCUAAGUACUGCAUGGAAUACAAAUAUUGGAAAUGUGAAGUCUAGCAAAGGCUUAAGUUCAGUUCUGUUUAUCUCAGACAAGAUUUAUUGAGCACCUAGGUACUAUGCUAAGUAUUGAAAAAUAGAACACAUUUUCUGUAGGCAAAGAAAUUUACAGUCUGAUAAGUGGGGGUUGAUAUAUCUUUAAAAUCACAUGUAAAAUUGUGUGUGUUGGUGGCAUGUGUGUGUGUGCACAUUUUUUUUCUCAGAAGAGAGAUACUAUCUU
RNAcentral lists this long non-coding RNA (850 nucleotides) under Canis lupus familiaris (dog). RNAcentral's name for it is "lncRNA (ENSCAFG00845005899.1)". Lineage: Eukaryota; Metazoa; Chordata; Mammalia; Carnivora; Canidae. The record is from RNAcentral.